UUUCCAUACAACACCCAGUGUGCACCUGAUUGCGUCAGAUCUCAGAAGCUAAGCUGGGUCGGACCUAGUUAGUAGUUGAAUGGCAGACUUUCUUGUUUUGUAUAACCUUGAUAGUUUUGAGGA
This is a ribosomal RNA of Panthera pardus (leopard), 123 nucleotides long. Lineage: Eukaryota; Metazoa; Chordata; Mammalia; Carnivora; Felidae. The record is from Ensembl.